This 372-nucleotide ribosomal RNA is filed under the name uncultured bacterium. RNAcentral's name for it is "bacterial SSU rRNA". It matches the Rfam family "Bacterial small subunit ribosomal RNA", at positions 523 to 898 of the family's 1533-position model. The record is from RNAcentral.
AUACGUAGGGGGCGAGCGUUGUCCGGAAUUAUUGGGCGUAAAGGGUGCGUAGGCGGCUGAACAAGUCAGAUGUGAAAGGUUAAGGCUUAACUUUAAUAAGCAUAUGAAACUGUUCAGCUUGAGUUAAGGAGAGGGGAGUGGAGUUCCUAGUGUAGCGGUGAAAUGCGUAGAUAUUAGGAGGAAUACCAGUGGCGAAGGCGACUCUCUGGACUUAAACUGACGCUGAGGCACGAAAGCGUGGGGAGCAAACAGGAUUAGAUACUCUGGUAGUCCACGCGGUAAACGAUGAGUGCUAGGUGUUGGGUGUCAAAGCUCAGUGCCGCAGCUAACGCAAUAAGCACUCCGCCUGGGGAGUACGAUGGCAACAUUGAA